GAUGAACGCUGGCGGCGUGCCUAAUACAUGCAAGUCGAGCGAACAGACGAGGAGCUUGCUCCUCUGAAGUUAGCGGCGGACGGGUGAGUAACACGUGGAUAACCUACCUAUAAGACUGGGAUAACUUCGGGAAACCGGAGCUAAUACCGGAUAACAUGUUGAACCGCAUGGUUCAACAGUGAAAGAUGGUCUUGCUGUCACUUAUAGAUGGAUCCGCGCCGCAUUAGCUAGUUGGUAAGGUAACGGCUUACCAAGGCAACGAUGCGUAGCCGACCUGAGAGGGUGAUCGGCCACACUGGAACUGAGACACGGUCCAGACUCCUACGGGAGGCAGCAGUAGGGAAUCUUCCGCAAUGGGCAAAAGCCUGACGGAGCAACGCCGCGUGAGUGAAGAAGGUCUUCGGAUCGUAAAACUCUGUUAUUAGGGAAGAACAAAUGUGUAAGUAACUAUGCACGUCUUGACGGUACCUAAUCAGAAAGCCACGGCUAACUACGUGCCAGCAGCCGCGGUAAUACGUAGGUGGCAAGCGUUAUCCGGAAUUAUUGGGCGUAAAGCGCGCGUAGGCGGUUUUUUAAGUCUGAUGUGAAAGCCCACGGCUCAACCGUGGAGGGUCAUUAGAAACUGGAAAACUUGAGUGCAGAAGAGGAAAGUGGAAUUCCAUGUGUAGCGGUGAAAUGCGCAGAGAUAUGGAGGAACACCAGUGGCGAAGGCGACUUUCUGGUCUGUAACUGACGCUGAUGUGCGAAAGCGUGGGGAUCGAACAGGAUUAGAUACCCUGGUAGUCCACGCCGUAAACGAUGAGUGCUAAGUGUUAGGGGGUUUCCGCCCCUUAGUGCUGCAGCUAACGCAUUAAGCACUCCGCCUGGGGAGUACGACCGCAAGGUUGAAACUCAAAGGAAUUGACGGGGACCCGCACAAGCGGUGGAGCAUGUGGUUUAAUUCGAAGCAACGCGAAGAACCUUACCAAAUCUUGACAUCCUCUGACCCCUCUAGAGAUAGAGUUUUCCCCUUCGGGGGACAGAGUGACAGGUGGUGCAUGGUUGUCGUCAGCUCGUGUCGUGAGAUGUUGGGUUAAGUCCCGCAACGAGCGCAACCCUUAAGCUUAGUUGCCAUCAUUAAGUUGGGCACUCUAAGUUGACUGCCGGUGACAAACCGGAGGAAGGUGGGGAUGACGUCAAAUCAUCAUGCCCCUUAUGAUUUGGGCUACACACGUGCUACAAUGGACAAUACAAAGGGUAGCGAAACCGCGAGGUCAAGCAAAUCCCAUAAAGUUGUUCUCAGUUCGGAUUGUAGUCUGCAACUCGACUACAUAAAGCUGGAAUCGCUAGUAAUCGUAGAUCAGCAUGCUACGGUGAAUACGUUCCCGGGUCUUGUACACACCGCCCGUCACACCAUGGGAGUCUGCAAUGCCCAAAGCCGGUGGCCUAACCUUCGGGAAGGAGCCGUCUAAGGCAGGGCAGAUGACUGGGGUGAAGUCGUAACAAGGUAGCCGUA
RNAcentral lists this ribosomal RNA (1495 nucleotides) under uncultured bacterium. RNAcentral describes it as "16S ribosomal RNA". It matches the Rfam family "Bacterial small subunit ribosomal RNA". The record is from RNAcentral.